CAUCUGUCAGCCAUUAGUUCACCAGGGGCUGGUAGUAGAGCGCUUGGAAAAGCUGGCAGAGCGUGUGGGACCAGGGGACAGCUUCACCUCCAGGUGCAGGGCACAGAGGAUGGGGGCAAGGGCAGCCACCUCCGCUCCACUCACACACACGGCACGCAAGGAGCCACGCUCACAACUCUGGAAGGGAAUCCUGACUGCAGGCUAAAGAUGAUCCAGUUCCCUGCACUAUGUCUUUGACAAUCCAAGUGGUAAGCCAGAGGGCCAAAGCAGGAUGAAACCAGACUUGCCAAUAACCAACCAGCAAAGGUCCUUUUUUCGCAGGGGAGAGAAGUCAAAACAACACAUGCUGUCGACGUGGGAACAGCUGGUAAGAGUGAGCAGUGGAAUGCCGGAGGCCGGGCUGCAGAUCAAUCAUCUGCCAGGGUGAAAAUAACCACCCUGACCUGAUCACCACCACGCAAAAGAGAGCGACCUCCUCAACCCAUCUUACACUAAGACACCUUUCACGCAAAAUGUAUGGUAAACUCAUAACCACAUACAGUUAUGAAGACAUCUAGAUGUUCCUUGUAAAUAGAAUUAUAUCAAGGACACCUUUAACAUGCUUUACAUAUCUUUUAAGGAGA
This is a long non-coding RNA of Sardina pilchardus (European sardine), 623 nucleotides long. RefSeq lists it as uncharacterized. NCBI's taxonomy places the organism in Eukaryota, Metazoa, Chordata, Actinopteri, Clupeiformes, Clupeidae. The transcript has 3 exons. The record is from RefSeq and is a predicted model, not a curated record.